AUACUAAAAAAACUUUACUGGCUUAGCACUGGGACCCCUUUUUUAGUAUACCAAUAUUAUAUAAA
This 65-nucleotide ribosomal RNA is filed under the name Chlamydomonas incerta. RNAcentral's name for it is "L3a ribosomal RNA". Lineage: Eukaryota; Viridiplantae; Chlorophyta; Chlorophyceae; Chlamydomonadales; Chlamydomonadaceae. The record is from RNAcentral.